UCCAAUGCCUUAAGAAAACUUCAUGAGGCUAAGCAGAACAGUCAGAAAGAACUGUUGCCAUUGGCAAAUGAUGUCAAAGUAAUGUCUGAAUACUUACGACAUGAAGCAGAAACACAUGCAAAUACCUUACAAGAAUCAGCAAGUGAUUGCGAGAAAAGGCAAGCAUGGCAUAAGUUGUCUGAAAUCUGCUUGUGUUUAAUCGAAACGAUCAGACGAUGUGUCAAAAAUGACAGUCGAAGAAUAUUCAAAAAACAAAUUGACAAAUGACGAUGGAGAAUUAGAUUGAUGUUUAACAAAACUGGAAAAAAAAACCUGUGCCGUUAUUUUUACCGUACAGAGAUUAUUGCAAAACGAGGUCGAAUAGCUGCAGUACUGUUUCCAAGACAGGUGAAAGAAAAUAUCGACCUGCUCAUACGCAGCAGAAAUUCUCUAACAAACUGUUUAAAUAGUAAAUAUCUUUUCCCAACAAAAUCUGCAUCAUGGCAUAUUCGUGGGACAGAUGUAUUACGUUCAAUUGCAAUUGACUGUGGAGCUGAACAUCCGAAAAGGCUUCGUUCUACAAAGUUAAGGAAACAUAUUGCCACAAUGACUAGGCUUUUUAACUUGUCUGAAAAUGAAAUAGACAUUCUAGCUAAAUUUCUUGGUCACGACAUUCGGGUACAUAGAGAAUUCUACAGAUAACCAGAUGGAACCAUGCAGGUUGCCAAAGUCAGCAAGCUGCUCAUGAUGAUGGAAAGUGGACAAAUUACCAGAAAUUCUGUCAAUUCGCUAGACGAUAUUGAUGUGGACGACGAAUGUAUUGUAGAUGAACAAUAUUCUUCUGAAUUAUCAGAAAAUGAAAAUACUGAAGACCUUGAAACUCUGCUUCCCAGCACCAGUCAACCAAAAAUAACAGACAAAGAAAAGGGUACUUCAAAUACCAGGAGAACAAAACAAGCAGCCAAAAAGCAACGGAGUGAAGACGAAAACAGGAGCUGUUCACAGAUACUUAGAUCGUUUUUUGAUAAUUGGUAAAUUACCAGGGAAAAAAUCAUUACUUGCAUG
Molecule: long non-coding RNA, 1044 nt
Organism: Dreissena polymorpha
Lineage: Eukaryota; Metazoa; Mollusca; Bivalvia; Myida; Dreissenidae
Exons: 3
Source: RefSeq, a predicted model, not a curated record